Molecule: RNA transcript, 6303 nt
Organism: Pezoporus occidentalis (night parrot)
Lineage: Eukaryota; Metazoa; Chordata; Aves; Psittaciformes; Psittacidae
Gene: VEGFA
Gene name: vascular endothelial growth factor A
Exons: 7
Source: RefSeq, a predicted model, not a curated record
UGAACAGAGGGAGAGAGAGAGAGACAGAGUGGGCAGGAGGAAAGCGCUCUGUUCGUCCCCUCCGCCGCCACCACCUCGACUUGCGGAGAGGGGUCGGGCCGAGUGGCGGCGGGAGCAGCCCCUUCCUUCCCCCCGGGGAGGCGACCCCGGCUCGGGGAGCCGCCGGAGGCAGUCACCGCGAAGAGAAGGGGGCGCAGGCAAAGAGAUGCAUUGAAACUUUCCGCGCAAACUUUGGCGUGAGUGCGCGAAACCGAGAGAGCGCGGCGCGGGUGCCUGCUGCCCCGGCGAGGGGAGCGCGGCCGCGGACGGGCGCCGCUGUGGAGCUCGGACUGCCCAGCGGUGGGGGCCGAGCAGCGGCGGCUGGGCGGCCGCGGAGCCUGCGCUCGGCCCGGCGGAGCGCCCGCAGAGAGCAACAGCAACAGCAGCAGCAGCGAGGGCCGGCGGAGAGCCGGGCUUAUGGAGGGGUGAAACCGGAGACCCCGAAGAGGAACCCUCCUUUUCGCGGAGAACCUCGCAGCGCCCGGUCGGCGACACACCAGGAGGAGGCGGCGGCGGCGGGCACGGAGGAGGCGCGGGCGAGAGCGCGGCGGGGCGGCGGCGGCGGGGCGGCGGCGAGGCGGAGCGCGGCGGGCCCCGCUCCGCUGCGUGCGCCGGCAACCAUGAACUUUCUGCUCACUUGGAUCCACUGGGGGCUGGCGGCGCUGCUCUAUCUGCAGAGCGCGGAGUUGUCGAAGGCAGCUCCUGCCCUGGGGGAUGGGGAGCGGAAACCCAAUGAAGUUAUCAAAUUCCUGGAAGUCUAUGAGCGCAGCUUCUGCAGGACAAUUGAGACCCUGGUGGACAUUUUCCAGGAGUACCCUGAUGAGGUGGAGUACAUAUUCAAGCCAUCCUGUGUGCCUCUGAUGAGAUGUGCGGGUUGCUGCGGCGAUGAGGGCCUAGAAUGUGUCCCUGUGGAUGUGUACAACGUCACGAUGGAGAUCAUGAGAAUUAAACCCCAUCAGAGUCAGCACAUAGCGCACAUGAGCUUCUUACAGCACAGUAAAUGUGACUGCAGACCAAAGAAAGAUGUCAAAAACAAACAAGAAAAGUGGGCACAGAAACCCAGAUCUGAUGGUUAUUCCUUCAUACCCCAUUCUUGGAGCCUGCAUGACCCAUGGUCAUGGCAGUCAUUCCUGAUGCUUUAUCCUGAGUCAGGGAGGUCCCGUCUUGUGUGUCCUACCAGAAUGGAUUCAAGGUGCAGCCCCUAAUCUCCCUUCCCUCUUCCUGGGGUGUUUCUGGUUACUGCAAAUCGCUGCCUUUCUUUAUGAUUAAUUUUUUUUCUUGCUGCUUGAGUGAGUACUUGCUGGCUUCUUUCACAGCAGCUUGGGUAGGAACUCUGCUGGCUACACGGAGAGGUGACAAUAGAGGUCUGGUGGAGGCAGGACAGAUGCCAUGCAGGAUGUGGCUCUGGUUUUGGUUGGGUGGGGGCCAGGGAGGGUGUAAAGGGAGGUGGAUGUCCUGUCUGGGUCUUGGUGGAGGCUUUCAUGAGAGUUUUAUCAGUCUGAUGGAUUUGCUCUUGUGACCUGAAGGAGGUUAAGGCACAACCUUCCUUUUCCUUCCUCCCGAAAGUAAAAACGAUGUGGAAAGUAGUGAAAUAAGCUCUUGUCCUGCAGUAGCUGCAGGGAUAAUCACAAAAUGUGGAACAAUACUGAAAAGAAAGUGACCUCUCUGGUGAGAGUCAGCUGGACUUUGCAUGGCUGGGGUAGCAGCUCUGCUGGUCAGAAGUAUGGAGUUGGGAGAGGAAGUGAAUGAAUACUGGGAGAUGAGGCUGAGCAGAGAGCAAGUGGGAGAGUGAGAGAACUUCUUUCACCCCUCUCCUGGGGGUUGUGUAUUUCUAGCUGCCUUCCAGCCUCUCCUCCUCCCCUUGGAAAUCUGCUCGUGGCUGCACUGGGCUGUGUGCAGCUGGCACUCCUCUCUGAGCAGGGCCAUGCCGGGGGUGGUCGGUCUGCGUGGCUCUGUGGUUUGAAGGUGUGCGUGAGUUGGGUCUGUGUGAACUCUGGUGAGGAUGGGUGUGGGUGAAGCAGCCAGCCUGGACUGCGUUGCAUUCCCUUUCCUCUUCUAACAGCACCUUGUCCGCUCUUUGCUGGUUCUGCACUCCCUGGGGAAGGAAGGGAAGGAAUGGGAGAGACUGGUGUGCUUUGAUUUGUGCUGGAUUGAAAGUCCUGUUAUAUUGGUGCCCCUCUCCUCCCUUCAGGUCGAUUUUCCUCCCCUCACCGCCUCCUUGUGACUCCUGACAUGUAGGGCAGAGGCUGGGAGCGAGCUGAUGCUCUGACACUCAUUCCAGUGAGACGACUUGAACAGGGCUUAAGAAACACCUGUGGUGCUUUCCCUUCUGUCCCCCAUGUCCCCAUCACAGCUUCCUCCUGAGGUGGGCUGUGCCAGGGAAUGAGGGAGCCUUUGCUGAACUACUGCAAUGCUGGGGCUCACUUGCCUGACAAGCCCUGGUGCUUUGCCUAGGGCCUUCUCCUUGCAUGUCUCUCCUUUGGUCCUGUGCUAAUGUGGCUCAGGAGUAGCGCAGGCUCCAGCCUCCCUCUCUCCCUGCGCUCUCACUGGCCUGUAGAGGUCCACUGUUAGUGUCUAGGCCUGCCCAAGAGUCAGGAGCUACUGGUGGAUUUUUCAGAAUGGAGUCAGUGCCUUGGCUCCGACUGCUCAUCUCUCUGGCAGAUACACGUGGAAGGCAAUGGGAAGGAGGGAAAGGAGGGAAAAUCUGAAAGCUGCUUGCUGGUUAUCUCCUGGGUGUCAUAACUAGGUCAGGCCUCCCUUUUUCCCCUCCAGUGUUCAGGAUAGAGGCUGCCAGAGGGGAGGUUAGCAGACAUCCGGUGAGGUCUCCUGGAGCCCUCCAAACCACACGCAGGAGGUGGGAUGGGUAAGCAGAGCCUUCAGGCUAGAUAACUCUCCCACACAGUGCUGCUGUGUAGACGAGGUCUCACCCCUUGUCUGCAGGGUGCUGAGGCGAGGCCCCCUUUGCUUCCAUCCCAAGGCAGGAUCACCACCACCCUGGCAGCAGAGCUGUUGGAGCUUGGCUGCCCCCUCCUAGGCCUGGUGCUGGGAAGUGCAUCAGGUCAGAGCAGUUUCCUUUUCCCUGGGGAGAGCCUCUCCCCUCAGGUUGCCUCUUGUCCGUCAGUGUGCGCCCAUGCUUGUCGCUUGGAACGGUUGUCUGCACUCCCUGCGGUUGCGUGAUGCUUUCACAAAGCUUUCUGUUCCUUCCCCUCACACCCUGUCCCUUCCCCACUGCCCCUCUGAUCUGGAGGGGCAGCAGAUCUGCCUCUGCUGGAAGAAGCCCUGCUGGCGCUGGUCUCUGAGUCUCCUGGCACUGGCUUGGCCAUGGGCAGGCUGGUUGUGGUGCUGGCAGGAGCGCAGAAGGGCCGGUGAAUGUGUGUGCGAGGUGGAGAUCUAUGCUUCGGCCUUGGGACCUGCCAUCCAGUCCUGCCCCAUGUGCUUCCCCCUCCCAGCAAGGCACAUGGCUGUAUUUUUUUUCCUCCUCUUCCUUGCGUUUUCUUCUGUUUUCUCUCUCUCUCCCUUUCUUUCCUUCUCUCUCUCUUUCUCUGUUUUUUUGUUUUGUUUUUCUUCCAGAAAAUCAAAGCGAGGAAAGGGGAAGGGUCAAAAGAGAAAGCGCAAGAAAGGCCGGUACAAACCACUCAGCUUAUGUGAAAAACCGAGACGGUGAGCAGCGGAAAAGAAGGGGGAACAGCCCUGUUUCUGGAGCCUGAUUUCUCGCCUGGACAGAAAAAAAAACAAAACACUAAUCCAAAUGAACCCUAAAAAUGAAGGAUCGGUAGAGCACAGCACUUUCAGUACGGACGAUGGACUCCGGAAGGAACAUUCCCCAAGGCACCCGCCGCACAGAAUUCACCUUUGGGUUUUGAACUGUUUUAUUUUAUUUUCUUUUCAUGCUGCUAAAUAACAGAGCCAGGAAGACUAUAGGGGUGUAUUUGAUGGGUUUUGCCAUGCAUAUAUAUAUAUGUGUGUAUACAUACAUAUACAUAUAUAUAUAUGUAUAUAUAUUUUAACCACAUCUAUAUAUACAUAUAUGUAUAUCUUAACCACACACACACAUAUAUAUAAAAUAUAUAUAUAUACUGAUUAUUUUUUUUAACAUUGCUAAUGUUAUUGGUGUCUUCACUGGAUAAUACUCGACUGCUGUGGACACAAGCGGGCUACUUGGGGCAUAAGAAACAAGCUAAGACUGGACUUGAGUAGAAGCGCUGGGUGUAAACUUCUUAACUCUAACUGACUUGUGCGGCCUCCGCUGUUUCUCUGUAGAGUGUGCUGUACCACAGACCACCUUCUCCUUGCCUGGGACAGGGAGGAGAGGUGAUGGAGAGGAUGGGCAGGGAGUUCCAAAGAGCGGCAUCCUAGGGUGCGAUGGGUCAAAGGCCAAGGAAAUGGCCAUCUCCGUGAUCAAGGAUUCCUCCUCCCCUCUCUUCCCCCAACCUUCGCCCUUACUCGUCUCAUAACCUGCCUGCCUUGCUGGGACAUGGGAUGUCAGUGUACAUUUUGCGUUGACUUUAUUCGCUGUAGAAACUUUGCCAGAGAAACGUGCUGGCUUCUCUUAAGGAUGGUGGGCAGCUGAUGCACACUAACUUUCCAUUCAAGGAAGUAUCACAGGAAUCUAGAUUUCCCGCCCUUGGUGGCUGCAAAAGGACACAAGGCCUACAGUGUGCUGAAGCAAGAAUGGGGACCGGUGCAUAGCCACACAGUUAUUCAGCACUGUCUGCUUUCUUCAUGCACAGAGCUGCCACUCAAGAGCAUCCAAGAUGCUUAUGGAACAUUUCUGGAAAGGGAUAUUAAUCAAAAGUAUAUACACAGUAGGGGGGUGUGUGUGUAUGUGAAUGUGUGCAUUUGUGUCUGUGUGUAUGUAUGCUUGUGUUUUUCUGUCUUUUUUAUAUAUAUAUAUUUAUUUUUAUACAUAUAUAUAUAUAAAAAAAAAUAAUAUAUAUGUAUGCCAAGAUUGAAGGGGGGAAUAGAAUACAUUUUUUGUUGCCUUCAGUUUAUGUGCCCGGUGUGAAUGACCCUUAAGAACGUGAAGAUUUUUUUCUUUUUUUAUGACAUACUGUAAAUAUCAGGCCCCUUUUCCAUGUCUUGGGCUGGGGAAUCAAAUGUGAAGGCAGCCGGAAUCCCUAAGCCGUGUCCAAGAAUCUUGGCUAUGUGUGUAUCUGCAAUAUACACUGUGGUGUAUGUGAAACCCACCGUACACACGCGCGCACACACACACCCCCCUGAAAGCGUGUUUGUACAUCUAUGUGGAUAUAUAUAAUCUAGUUCUGUGAUUAAAAUUAUUAUUAUUAAUAAUAAUAAUCAAAAAGGUACUCGGUCUGUGUCAGAAUGCUGCCAAACAUCAUCUGCAAUUGAAUUUUCAACGCCUGAUAAUGUACAACACGGAAAGCUUCCAAAAAGACAAGACAGUCUAAAAACAGACUCACAAGUGACUACUAACCACUAGGAACUCCCCAUCCGACUGGUGGCUGUCAGGAGGAGGCAAAACACGCGGGUGGGUGCUUGCAUCUGCAAUGUGUAAUACUCAUGCUGCAUCGUGCGCAAGACAGAGGCUUCCGAUCGGGGGGAGGGAAGAGAAAGUGUUUUAUAUACUUAUUUAAUAUCCCUUUUUAAAUUAGAAAUUAAACAGAUAAUUUAAUGAGAGAGUAGGGAUUUUUCAGUAUUCUUUGUUAAUAUUUAAUUUCAACUAUUUAUAAGCCGUACCUCUUUUUUUUUUUUUUUUUUUUUAUUUGUACUGGUUGUGUAUAAAUUUAACCUUCCCCUUGUCCCGUCCCAUCUCUCCCCAAUUGUUGGCAGAGUCAGUAGCAUGUUAUGGGCAGUUAUUUAAUUAAUUUCUCUAACACCUACCCCUACACAUUCCUAUUGAGACAAGAGUUAGAUAUACAUCUACAUACUAUAUAUAUAUUUGGCUAUGUGUUUGUAUAUAUAUAUAUGUUUAUGUAUAUGUGUGAUUCGGAUUAAAUAGACGCUACGAUUUUUUUAUAUAUGUAAAAAGAAGAAACAGGAAAAAUAGAAAAUUCUACAUCUUGAAUCUCUCUCCUUUUUAAUUUUAAUAUUUGUUAUCAUUUUAUUUAUUGGUGCUACUGUUUAUCUGUAAUAAUUGCGGGGAAAAAAGAUAUUAACACUACAUAUUGUGUCUAGUGAAUUUUUUCAAGAUAUUCCUUAGUACAUAUUUAUUUUUAAACAAAGAAAUUACAGAUAUAUCUUAAACAGCGACGACGACGACAAACAAACUUUUUUUUGUAUUAAAGAAUUUAAUUCUGACCUUGA